RNAcentral lists this RNase P RNA (256 nucleotides) under Alphaproteobacteria bacterium. RNAcentral describes it as "partial RNase P RNA component class A". It matches the Rfam family "Bacterial RNase P class A", at positions 1 to 237 of the family's 367-position model. From Rfam's summary of the family: Ribonuclease P (RNase P) is a ubiquitous endoribonuclease, found in archaea, bacteria and eukarya as well as chloroplasts and mitochondria. Lineage: Bacteria; Pseudomonadati; Pseudomonadota; Alphaproteobacteria. The record is from RNAcentral.
UCAGAUGGCUGGAUGGCCGCUUUCGGCGGGCUGGUUCCGCUGGGGGAGGAAAGUCCGGGCUCCACGGAAACACGGUGCCGGGUAACGCCCGGCGGGGGUGACCCCAGGGAAAGUGCCACAGAAAGCAAACCGCCGGCGUCGCCCGGGUCCUCGGACGCGGGUGCCGGCAAGGGUGAAAGGGCGCGGUAAGAGCGCACCGCGCUCCCGGCAACGGGAGCGGCAUGGCAAACCCCACCGGGAGCAAGACCAAAUAGGG